CAUCACAUAAUGUGUAAAGGUGAUAGACGGCCUAGUUUUACUUCUGAAGUACUUCAUAUUGCCUGAAAGAGA
This 72-nucleotide transfer RNA is filed under the name uncultured Nitzschia. RNAcentral describes it as "Selenocysteine transfer RNA". Lineage: Eukaryota; Bacillariophyta; Bacillariophyceae; Bacillariales; Bacillariaceae. The record is from RNAcentral.